RNA transcript from Daphnia carinata, 1091 nucleotides. It is a transcript of the gene named histone RNA hairpin-binding protein-like, with no coding region annotated. The transcript has 4 exons. The record is from RefSeq and is a predicted model, not a curated record. NCBI's taxonomy places the organism in Eukaryota, Metazoa, Arthropoda, Branchiopoda, Diplostraca, Daphniidae.
UCGCUUUCGCAUCUGUUUUUGUUCGAGUAGCUUUGGCUUGAUUGGGCAACAAAAGGAGGUCUGUGAAAUCCUCCACUGUUUGCUGCUCGGAAAGAUAGUGGGCUAAACAGACUUUUAAAAUUAUACAAAAUUUUUGUUCAUCUUUAAUCAAUUGUAGUGUAAGAUGACACCAAGGAAAUUAAUUAAAAAAGAAAAAGGUUCAGAUGGAGAAGAAAGUUUGCCUGAUAAGAGUCAUUCCACUCGUUUACUUCGGAAACGCGAAUGGGAUUCUGCAAGCAUUAUAAGUCCUGAAAGAGGUCCAGCCCAAAGGAAAGAACUCAGAAGGGAUAACUUGCAUUUGAAGCGUUCACUGACAACUUCUUAUUCUCAAACAGUAAAGAAGAAUUUGUCUAAUACAGAGAAACUUUCAUCUUCUCUGUUGAGGGAGUCAAAAACUGAGGUAAAAACUGAGAAACCAGAGCUUGAAACAGGAGACACUAGUGGCAAGAGCACAAAUACUUCAAAUGGUUUUGAGGAUGAUCCUCUGGUACUUUCCCGACGACAGAAACAAAUUGACUAUGGGAAAAAUACCAUUGCCUAUGAUAACUACAUCAAAACCAUACCUAAAAAUCAGAGAACCAAAGAACACCCCCAAACUCCCAACAAGUACAAAAAGUAUAGUAGGAGAGGCUGGGAUGGAUCAAUCAAAGUGUGGAGGCAAAAGUUGCAUGUUUUUGAUACAGAUGAUAGUAAGGAAAAGGAGUGUGCAACUGUUGGUUCUGUAGAUGAUGCGGAAAUUGAAGGUGACCUGAACUGCCUUCCUUUCGAUUUAAUCGACUCUGAUGUCGAUCUAUAGACCACUUCUUACUUCUAGAAGUGAAACAAUAUUUUAGACCCAAACGAAGACAUGCGCGUAGCAUAUUAAAUUUUUCUGUGUGAUGAUUAAGUCUUUAUAUUUAAAUUCAUCCUAAAUUUUCUUUCAAGUUCAAAGCAGUUCCGCAGCUUAAACAGAGCCUUCAAUUAUCGCGUAGUUUCUCUGAACGAUCUUAACUGUUUGUAACGGCCAAAUAUGUCACUUGUCUGACAGCAAUGCGAUAAUUCUUGAAUUUUCA